RNAcentral lists this ribosomal RNA (490 nucleotides) under Vittaforma corneae. RNAcentral describes it as "SSU rRNA". It matches the Rfam family "Microsporidia small subunit ribosomal RNA", at positions 49 to 571 of the family's 1311-position model. Lineage: Eukaryota; Fungi; Microsporidia; Nosematidae. The record is from RNAcentral.
CAUGCAUGUUUCCGCAAUCAGGGACGAAUAGCUCAGUAAAACUGCGAUGAUUUAGUCUGGCUGUGUAGAUAACUACGUGAAAAUGUAGCUAAGGGAAGGCAGAAUAAGACGCAGGACUAUCAGUUAGUUGGUAGUGUAAUGGACUACCAAGACAGUGACGGUUGACGGGAAAUUAGGGUUUUGUACCGGAGAGGGAGCCUGAGAGAUUGCUCCCACGUCCAAGGACGGCAGCAGGCGCGAAAAUUGCCCACUCUUUGCAGGAGGCAGUUAUGAGACGUGAAGAUGAGUAUCUUGUAAAGAGGGAUAGGAGAAUUGGAGGGCAAGUUUGGUGCCAGCAGCCGCGGUAAUACCGACUCCAAGAGUGUGUAUGAGAGAUGCUGCAGUUAAAAAGUCCGUAGUCAUAGAAGGGCAAAGAGAGAUGCGAGGUCUCACAGUGCGAUGAUGGAGGAGCCGAUGGGGAACAUAGUAUACCAGGGCGAGAGAUGAAAUG